GGCAGUAUGAUGGGACAAGCCGUGGGGGUCAGGUAUGGCCCGCAAACUGAUCCUUGGCUGGUGGGAGAGUACAGGAGAAACUCCCAAUCUUUUUAUACCCCGUCUUGAGCUGGGUGAAAAAGUUGGCCACAAGGAUCUCUGGUGGAUCUCGGGGGUGGGGUGCUUUGCAAGGAGGCUCUGGACUGACCCAUGCACCUGAGAGAGGGCUGAGGACACACUUACAUCUGGGAGGGGGGCGGUCCCAGCCCCAUGGGGGGUAUAUUAGGGGUCUCCAGCAAAACAGAACUACUGGGAUGUGUGUGUGUGUGUGUGUGUGUGUGUGUGUGUGUGUGUGUGUGUGUGUGGAUAUUUAGGGAACUGGCUCAUCCGAUCAGGAAGGCUGGCAAGUCCAGAAUCUGUGGGCUGGGCCAGCAGGCAGGAGACCCAGCGAGGGGCCUGGGUGCAGAAAUCCCUCUUGCUCAGGGAAGGUCAGCCUUUUGUUUUAUUCGGGCCUUCAGAGGAUUGGAUGAAGCUGCCCCACAUUAUGAAGGGUCAUCUCUUGACUCACUGUCUACUGAUUUAAAUGUUAAUCUCACCCCAAAACACCGCCACAGAAACAUCCAGAAUAAUGUGUGACUGCAUAUCUGGGUGCCGUGGCCCAGCCAGGUAGACACAUAGCAUCGGUAAUCCCGGGGGGCAUACCCAAGGGCCGGAGAGCCCAACACAGGACCAGGAAGACCCAGGGUGGAGAGGUUCAUGCCCCCUCUGUGCCAGCCACCAUGACACCGAGCUCGGGAUCGACCCAGGUGGCUGGAACUGGGGGAGGACCUUGAAUUUGACCCAGUUUGAACCCAGAAUGACUGAGGAAAAUUACACAGGCAUCUGAGUAGUACACAAGGGUCCUCUUUGGGCGCGUCGGAGGUCACGCGACUGUGGAAUUGGCACCUGUGACCUGAAGACCACACUGGGAUCUCACCGCUUAAAAAAGAGAAACCUGUGUAAAACGAGCGAUAGAAACAUCCUCCCCAACCUCGUGCCACCUCGGAGGCUGCGGCUGAGCCGGGCCUGGGGGCCACAGGCAUCUGGGACAAAGCCAUCCUUCACACACACUCAGGUAUGCACAUGUGUGUGCACACAUACCCACUUGUGCACACACCCACACACACCUGCACACCGCUCGCUCACCUCCCUGCUGUCGCCCACGCUGGCCUCGGUGCUUGGAACCUUUCUGCUUCUGGUCCUCACCCAAGAGCCUCCUUUCCUUCCCUGAAGGGCCAGGUACUCAGAGCGUCCUCUGUCCCCGCACCAACCCACCAGGUGACGACUGCCUUUCUGCACGUGUCCGCACUGCUGCCCCUUCGGCACCUGGGACCAGGCCCUGCCGGACGGGUCUGUGUCCUGCCUGGCCCAGAGCAGGUGCCUGGGGAUGGCUGCGGAAUGAGCGGAUGAGUGAUGGGCGGGUGCGGGCGCUGCACUGACGGCCGGAGGCGCGGAGCCCGGGCCCUGGCCUGCGGCAUCCGUGUGCAGUGGGAGCCCGCGGGGUGCACCGUGAGCCGUGCCGGUGUGCACACGCAUACUGUGGCCAGCCGAGGGGACGCGGGCGCUGAAACUAACAGGAUGUCCAACAAGGGUGCGGGAAGCUUUGCCCAGCACCUAGCCUCAUUGCAAGCCUCUGUCACCGGCCUGCGGCCCAGGGAGGUGUAGCACCGGCUUGAUUACUCACCUUCGGUGGCUGAGCUGGGAUUUGAGCCCAGGGUGUGCGGCCUCCUCCCUUGUCGCCCCCGGAAGCCAGGCGGGAUAUGCCGGGCAACAGGGAGUCACAGCAUGUUCGUGAGCAGGGGACAAACCCGACUGUGUCUCACCAUUGCCUCGUGCCUGGUGCCUCGCAUCUGCUCGGCGAAGGUGGGCUGAAAGCUGAUGGGUGAGGGAUGAGAAUGUUGGAGAAAGAGUCCUUCAAUGUUACAAAACCUUGUGAGACUCUGGUCGAUGUAUAUGUGUGUAUCUGCAUGCUUACGUGUCCACACUCGCCCGUACGUGUUUCAUGGAACAGCCUCGGAAGGAAAUCCUGGAAACAGGUCACAGUGAGGGACUUGAGGGGGCAAGUAGGCAGGACACCCCUGUCCAUUGUAAACGUUUUCUACCUAUUUGGAUUUUUACCCUGUUCCUGCAUGACUUAAUGUG
This is a long non-coding RNA of Felis catus (domestic cat), 2160 nucleotides long. RefSeq lists it as uncharacterized. NCBI's taxonomy places the organism in Eukaryota, Metazoa, Chordata, Mammalia, Carnivora, Felidae. The transcript has 2 exons. The record is from RefSeq and is a predicted model, not a curated record.